Molecule: ribosomal RNA, 465 nt
Filed under: Vreelandella stevensii
Lineage: Bacteria; Pseudomonadati; Pseudomonadota; Gammaproteobacteria; Oceanospirillales; Halomonadaceae
Description: partial 16S ribosomal RNA
Rfam family: Bacterial small subunit ribosomal RNA
Source: RNAcentral
CCUACGGGGGGUAGCAGUGGGGAAUAUUGGACAAUGGGCGAAAGCCUGAUCCAGCCAUGCCGCGUGUGUGAAGAAGGCCUUCGGGUUGUAAAGCACUUUCAGUGGGGAAGAAAGCCUUGGGGCUAAUACCCUCGAGGAAGGACAUCACCCACAGAAGAAGCACCGGCUAACUCCGUGCCAGCAGCCGCGGUAAUACGGAGGGUGCGAGCGUUAAUCGGAAUUACUGGGCGUAAAGCGCGCGUAGGCGGUCUGAUAAGCCGGUUGUGAAAGCCCCGGGCGCAACCUGGGAACGGCAUCCGGAACUGUCAGGCUAGAGUGCAGGAGAGGAAGGUAGAAUUCCCGGUGUAGCGGUGAAAUGCGUAGAGAUCGGGAGGAAUACCAGUGGCGAAGGUGGCCUUCUGGACUGACACUGACGCUGAGGUGCGAAAGCGUGGGUAGCAAACAGGAUUAGAUACCCCAGUAGUC